Molecule: ribosomal RNA, 401 nt
Filed under: uncultured bacterium
Lineage: Bacteria
Description: bacterial SSU rRNA
Rfam family: Bacterial small subunit ribosomal RNA
Source: RNAcentral
AUCCUGGCUCAGAUUGAACGCUGGCGGCAUGCUUUACACAUGCAAGUCGAACGGCAGCGGGGGCUUCGGCCUGCCGGCGAGUGGCGAACGGGUGAGUAAUGCAUCGGAACGUGCCCAUGUCGUGGGGGAUAACGUAGCGAAAGCUACGCUAAUACCGCAUACGCCCUGAGGGGGAAAGCGGGGGAUUCUUCGGAACCUCGCGCGAUUGGAGCGGCCGAUGUCGGAUUAGCUAGUAGGUGAGGUAAAGGCUCACCUAGGCGACGAUCCGUAGCGGGUCUGAGAGGAUGAUCCGCCACACUGGGACUGAGACACGGCCCAGACUCCUACGGGAGGCAGCAGUGGGGAAUUUUGGACAAUGGGCGCAAGCCUGAUCCAGCCAUGCCGCGUGAGUGAAGAAGGCC